This 253-nucleotide ribosomal RNA is filed under the name uncultured bacterium. Its description in RNAcentral is "partial 16S ribosomal RNA". It matches the Rfam family "Bacterial small subunit ribosomal RNA", at positions 524 to 776 of the family's 1533-position model. The record is from RNAcentral.
UACGAAGGGGGCUAGCGUUGUUCGGAUUUACUGGGCGUAAAGCGCGUGUAGGCGGGUCGUUAAGUUGGGGGUGAAAUCCCGAGGCUCAACCUCGGAACUGCCUUCAAAACUGGCGACCUGGACUCAAGUAGAGGCAAGUGGAAUUGCGAGUGUAGAGGUGAAAUUCGUAGAUAUUCGCAGGAACACCAGUGGCGAAGGCGACUUGCUGGACUUGUAGUGACGCUGAGACGCGAAAGCGUGGGGAGCAAACGGG